This 266-nucleotide ribosomal RNA is filed under the name Haemophilus influenzae. RNAcentral describes it as "partial 23S ribosomal RNA". It matches the Rfam family "Bacterial large subunit ribosomal RNA", at positions 1639 to 1888 of the family's 2925-position model. The record is from RNAcentral. Lineage: Bacteria; Pseudomonadati; Pseudomonadota; Gammaproteobacteria; Pasteurellales; Pasteurellaceae.
AAACCGUACUGAAAACCGACACAGGUGGUCAGGUAGAGAAUACUCAGGCGCUUGAGAGAACUCGGGUGAAGGAACUAGGCAAAAUAGCACCGUAACUUCGGGAGAAGGUGCGCCGGCGUAGAUUGUAGUCCCUUGCGGAUGAAGGUUGAACCGGUCGAAGUGACCCGCUGGCUGCAACUGUUUAUUAAAAACACAGCACUCUGCAAACACGAAAGUGGACGUAUAGGGUGUGAUGCCUGCCCGGUGCUGGAAGGUUAAUUGAUGGU